AUUGAACGCUGGCGGCAUGCUUUACACAUGCAAGUCGAACGGUAACAGGGAAAAGCUUGCUUUUCUGCUGACGAGUGGCGAACGGGUGAGUAAUACAUCGGAACGUGCCCUGUAGUGGGGGAUAACUACUCGAAAGAGUGGCUAAUACCGCAUACAACCUGAGGGUAAAAGUGGGGGACCGCAAGGCCUCACGCUAUAGGAGUGGCCGAUGGAAGAUUAGGUAGUUGGUAGGGUAAAGGCCUACCAAGCCGACGAUCUUUAGCGGGUCUGAGAGGACGAUCCGCCACACUGGGACUGAGACACGGCCCAGACUCCUACGGGAGGCAGCAGUGGGGAAUUUUGGACAAUGGGGGCAACCCUGAUCCAGCAAUGCCGCGUGAGUGAAGAAGGCCUCGGUUGUAAG
Molecule: ribosomal RNA, 403 nt
Filed under: uncultured bacterium
Lineage: Bacteria
Description: bacterial SSU rRNA
Rfam family: Bacterial small subunit ribosomal RNA
Source: RNAcentral